CUCAUCCGCUGAGCUGGCCGAAAGAAGCAAGCAAAGAGUCUUACUCUAAAGAAAAAGCCUAUUCCUAUUCUAGAAAUCCUGCAAACUCUUAAUCGAAGUACUUAGCACUCACCGCGGAAAUUGGCGGAAAUUAAUUGGCGCUGCAUCUAUCCCAAUGAAUUUUUAGCUUUUCCUUAGCCCUCUUCUUUAGCACUGGCUUACUCACAGGAAGCUGGCCUAGCAGAUGACUCUUAGUUAGACUGGUACUAGUUAGGAUAUCACAUAAGGGGAAUCCCAUUCUAGGAGUUCUCCAAAGCCCUAUCCCAUAUAAAAGAGAAAAGCUAUAUUAACGCUCUAGCCCAAGAAUAGAUCUUAUGAAAAGAAAAGAACGAUCGUCAGCGGAGAUCGCAAUACGAAGUUUUUUAGACAUAAUCCCCGGCAUCAGAGAAUUCCAGGGAUUUUCUCUAUUUAAAGUAGGAGAUAGCCGGGUAUUCCCACAGAGAAGUCUUGCUCUGGCUUGCCCAAAGCGUUGAACAUAGAGAAUUAAGGUUGUCUUACAUACACACUGGUGGAAUUUCAUUUUCUUCCGCUUUUUAAAAUAGUAAGAGGGGAAUUGAGUAAAAUAUCCUUGUCCGUAGUUCCAGCGGAUUCUCUUUUGUCUUGCAAACCCCUUAUUCUGUACUCCCCUAUUCUUGAAAAGACCGCUAUGCACCUUGACUUUUGGCUUUUCGUUCUUUCUGCUGCAGCUGUUUAGCUAUAUUCG
This 742-nucleotide long non-coding RNA is filed under the name Nicotiana benthamiana. RNAcentral's name for it is "long non-coding RNA (NBEN_LNC014334)". Lineage: Eukaryota; Viridiplantae; Streptophyta; Magnoliopsida; Solanales; Solanaceae. The record is from RNAcentral.